This 1478-nucleotide long non-coding RNA is filed under the name Citrus sinensis (sweet orange). Its description in RNAcentral is "long non-coding RNA (CSIN_LNC002688)". The record is from RNAcentral. Lineage: Eukaryota; Viridiplantae; Streptophyta; Magnoliopsida; Sapindales; Rutaceae.
GACGGAGUCUUCUUGUGACUCCAGAGACUUCUUUUCUGGCCAACAAGUAUAUGAAAAUGCACCAACCGGGUUUUAGACAUGAACGGGUAGUUGUGGAUGGUUUUGGGCAUUCAGACUUAUUAAUAGGGGAGGAGUCUGAUAAGAAAGUUUUUCCUCACAUAUUAUCUCACAUAAGAUUGGCUGAACAAGGGAAAAAUGGUGUGAUCAGUUCAGGAGAGAAAUACAGCAAAGAGUCCUUAGCUUGGGAAGAUGAUUUCUACUCUGCGUCCAGAGGAUUUGGAAGCAGCUGGUAUUCCCAAAGGAUUGUUGUUUUGUUGAUGUUGUUGUGGGUUGUUAUUAUGUUGAUUUCAUUAUUCCUAUGAUUCAUAAACUACAGCGAGGAAAAGAACCAUUAUGGGGAAUUGCUCAGUUUACGUUUACAGCCGUGAAUAAGAUUUUCAGUGGCAUCAGUGCGCUUGAUGCGUUAGUUUCUGCAGGCAAGGUGGGUAACUGUUGACUCUUAUCAACAGCAUGCAGUCAUCACAGGACUUGCUAGCAAUGAUCAAGAAGGAAGUGGGUUAGUCUUGAGUCAUUAUCAUCCACAACAUCAAAGAAUAUUAAUAAUAAAAGCAGUUGCUCUGCUCUUUGCAACUUUUUUUAAAAAAAAAAAAUUAUAGGAUGUAUUUUGUUCAAAUUUAUUUAAAUUUGCUUGAAGGUAGAAUUAUGCAAGUUGCAGUGAAAAUUUACGAAUAAAUUUAACGACCAACUCAUUCCAAACCGAUGCGGUGGGUUAGCAGUGAUCAGGUUUUAGUAGAUGCGGGCUCAGUUUUUCAAUCGAGCUUAAAUACCCAAAGCUAAUCGGGCUGACUAUGCCGUUCUACCAUUGACAACCUCUAAAGUCCAUCAAUCUCUCUCUUGAGGAAAAACUUCAAUUAACUGAUUAACAGAAUCAUUAUUUACAAGGCAUCUAUGUUCUUUCAAAACUAUCCUUAAUUCAAUCUCUUUCCGCCAAAUCGCUUCUUCUUUAUGAAUAUUUUUUUUUUUUUAAAAAGAAAUAAUACUUCAUUUUAAUGAAUAGGGGACGGCAAAAAAAAGUGAAAUAUUUUUUUCAUCAAAAUAAAUUGAGAUUUGACAUACCAGAAAUUGUUUAAAGGAAGGUUGAAGAAGGGAGAAGUGUCGGUGUUGAGGGGCGAGCUAUUGACAUGCGAACGCGGUAGCCGUACGUGUCACAAAUACCUGCUUCAUUGGAGCCGCCGGCGCAAAACGCUGAGACUCUAUUUUUGUUACACAAGUCGCCUUGGAUCUUCAUCUUCUUAAUUAUUACUAUAAUAAUAAUUAUUAUUAUUAUUGUCAGGUUCUUUAAUUAAUCUCGUCAAUUGUUGAUUCUUCGAUGAUUCAAUUUAAUUUGGUAUAAAAAUAAAGAAAGAAAACAGAUUAUAAUGGGAGAGAGAGAGAGAGAGAGAGAGAGGGAGAAGAGUCAAUAUUGAGUUGUACAAAAA